AACGCUGGCGGCGUGCCUAAUACAUGCAAGUCGAACGAACGGAGGAAGAGCUUGCUCUUCCAAAGUUAGUGGCGGACGGGUGAGUAACACGUGGGCAACCUGCCUGUAAGUUGGGGAUAACUCCGGGAAACCGGGGCUAAUACCGAAUGAUARARUGUGGCGCAUGCCACGCUUUUGAAAGAUGGUUUCGGCUAUCGCUUACAGAUGGGCCCGCGGUGCAUUAGCUAGUUGGUAGGGUAAUGGCCUACCAAGGCAACGAUGCAUAGCCGACCUGAGAGGGUGAUCGGCCACACUGGGACUGAGACACGGCCCAGACUCCUACGGGAGGCAGCAGUAGGGAAUCUUCCGCAAUGGACGAAAGUCUGACGGAGCAACGCCGCGUGUAUGAAGAAGGUUUUCGGAUCGUAAAGUACUGUUGUUAGAGAAGAACAAGGAUAAGAGUAACUGCUUGUCCCUUGACGGUAUCUAACCAGAAAGCCACGGCUAACUAC
This 491-nucleotide ribosomal RNA is filed under the name Listeria monocytogenes. RNAcentral's name for it is "bacterial SSU rRNA". It matches the Rfam family "Bacterial small subunit ribosomal RNA", at positions 32 to 504 of the family's 1533-position model. Lineage: Bacteria; Bacillati; Bacillota; Bacilli; Caryophanales; Listeriaceae. The record is from RNAcentral.